CAUGUACUCCCUCUAGCCCAAAAUUCUUGUCUUAGAUUUGUCUAUAUAUGAAUGUAUCUAGUCACGUUUUAGUAUUUAGAUACAUUCAUUUCUAGACAAACCUAAGACAAGAAUUUUGCGACGGAGGGAGUAUCAU
Molecule: microRNA precursor, 136 nt
Filed under: Hordeum vulgare
Lineage: Eukaryota; Viridiplantae; Streptophyta; Magnoliopsida; Poales; Poaceae
Description: microRNA MIR1122
Rfam family: MIR1120/MIR1122 microRNA precursor family
Source: RNAcentral